UGGAAAUGAAAGUGUGUGGUCAAAA
Molecule: unclassified non-coding RNA, 25 nt
Filed under: Mus musculus (house mouse)
Lineage: Eukaryota; Metazoa; Chordata; Mammalia; Rodentia; Muridae
Description: oocyte_clustered_small_RNA9383
Source: RNAcentral